Molecule: non-coding RNA, 97 nt
Organism: Rattus norvegicus (Norway rat)
Lineage: Eukaryota; Metazoa; Chordata; Mammalia; Rodentia; Muridae
Product: Y RNA
Source: Ensembl
GGUCCGAAGGUAGUGAGUUAUCUAAGUCAGUUGUUCUCAGUCAGUUACAGAUUGAACUCCUGUGCUAUACUUCUCCUUCUCGCUACUGAACUUGACU